GUUGCCUGUACAAGAAUGACAGGGCACAGUGACAUGAUCGACAACUCGAGUGUUCUACCUACAGAUUGCAAGAAUCUUCUCUCAAGUAGUGAUUCCUCCUGGUUCAUGCUAAUGCACUUACAAUUAGAUCAGGAAAUACCACAUUAAUGUCCUAGGAGAGACUCUCUUCUUUCCGCUUGCAGGCGCAUGCACCAAAUCGUCAGCGUUCACAGACACGACUAGCAGCUCUCCUGGGAGUCUUCAGUGCUGGAUUGAAGUAAAUGAUACAUCUGCAAUUCAACAUAUGGAAACUACAAGCAACAAUUUAUCAUGGAAUAGAUAGCUCCAUGUGCCUUCAAAAAUAGUAUGGUUUGCAUGAUAAGCUGCUAUUGAACAAAAUAAUUUCUGCUUGAUCAAAAUCUGGUCAUCAUCUAGUAAGUAAAGAUGGUUUCUGAUGAAUAUCAGUUUAUGACACAUUUAUUCAAUUGCAAAGAAAGAAAAUCUUAGCCUUGUUUUCUAUUGACAAACUUAUCCUUU
Long non-coding RNA from Musa acuminata AAA Group (dessert banana), 516 nucleotides. RefSeq lists it as uncharacterized. NCBI's taxonomy places the organism in Eukaryota, Viridiplantae, Streptophyta, Magnoliopsida, Zingiberales, Musaceae. The transcript has 3 exons. The record is from RefSeq and is a predicted model, not a curated record.